Molecule: ribosomal RNA, 434 nt
Filed under: uncultured bacterium
Lineage: Bacteria
Description: partial 16S ribosomal RNA
Rfam family: Bacterial small subunit ribosomal RNA
Source: RNAcentral
AGCGAACGCUGGCGGCAGGCCUAACACAUGCAAGUCGAACGAACCUUUCGGGGUUAGUGGCGGACGGGUGAGUAACACGUGGGAACGUGCCUUUAGGUUCGGAAUAACUCAGGGAAACUUGUGCUAAUACCGAAUGUGCCCUUCGGGGGAAGGAUUUAUCGCCUUUAGAGCGGCCCGCGUCUGAUUAGCUAGUUGGUUGAGGUAAUGGCUCACCAAGGCGACGAUCAGUAGCUGGUCUGAGAGGAUGAUCAGCCACAUUGGGACUGAGACACGGCCCAAACUCCUACGGGAGGCAGCAGUGGGGAAUCUUGCGCAAUGGGCGAAAGCCUGACGCAGCCAUGCCGCGUGAAUGAUGAAGGUCUUAGGAUUGUAAAAUUCUUUCACCGGGGACGAUAAUGACGGUACCCGGAGAAGAAGCCCCGGCUAACUUCGUG